GAGCCCGCACAAGCAGUGGAGUAUGUGGUUUAAUUCGACGCAACGCGAAGAACCUUACCGGAGCUUGACAUCCUAUGAAGACUGAUGUAAUGUUGGUCGUGCUCCUUCGGGAGAGCAUAGAGACAGGUGGUGCAUGGUUGUCGUCAGCUCGUGUCGUGAGAUGUUGGGUUAAGUCCCGCAACGAGCGCAACCCCUACGGUUAGUUGCUACGAAAGAGCACUCUAGCCGGACUGCCGUUGACAAAACGGAGGAAGGUGGGGACGACGUCAAAUCAUCAUGCCCCUUACGUUCCGGGCUACACACGUACUACAAUGGCGUGAACAAAGGGAAGCGAGAUCGCGAGAUGGAGCAAACCCCGGAAACACGCCCCAGUUCGGACUGCAGGCUGCAACCCGCCUGCACGAAGUUGGAAUUGCUAGUAAUCGCGGAUCAUCAUGCCG
RNAcentral lists this ribosomal RNA (440 nucleotides) under uncultured Bacillota bacterium. RNAcentral's name for it is "bacterial SSU rRNA". It matches the Rfam family "Bacterial small subunit ribosomal RNA", at positions 917 to 1359 of the family's 1533-position model. The record is from RNAcentral. Lineage: Bacteria; Bacillati; Bacillota.